UGGUCAAUGGGCGCAAGCCUGAACCAGCCAUCCCGCGUGCAGGAUGAAGGCCCUAUGGGUCGUAAACUGCUUUUAUACGCCAAGAAAAACACAGACGAGUCUGUGCCUGACGGUAGUGUAUGAAUAAGCAUCGGCUAACUCCGUGCCAGCAGCCGCGGUAAUACGGAGGAUGCAAGCGUUAUCCGGAUUCAUUGGGUUUAAAGGGUGCGUAGGCGGCUUUUUAAGUCAGUGGUGAAAUCUUGCCGCUUAACGGUAAAAUUGCCAUUGAUACUGAGGAGCUUGAGUACAGUUGAGGUAGGCGGAAUGUGUAGUGUAGCGGUGAAAUGCUUAGAUAUUACACAGAACACCAAUUGCGAAGGCAGCUUACUAAACUGGUAACUGACGCUGAUGCACGAAAGCGUGGGGAGCGAACAGGAUUAGAUACCCUGGUAGUCCACGCCGUAAACGAUGCUCACUCGCUGUUUGCGAUACACAGCAAGCGGCCAAGCGAAAGCAUUAAGUGAGCCACCUGGGGAGUACGAUCGCAAGGUG
RNAcentral lists this ribosomal RNA (531 nucleotides) under uncultured bacterium. Its description in RNAcentral is "bacterial SSU rRNA". It matches the Rfam family "Bacterial small subunit ribosomal RNA", at positions 365 to 895 of the family's 1533-position model. The record is from RNAcentral.